GAUUCCGUAGUGUAGUGGUUAUCACGUGCGCCUAACACGCGCAAGGUCCCCGGUUCGAGCCCGGGCGGAAUCU
Molecule: transfer RNA, 73 nt
Filed under: Patiria miniata (bat star)
Lineage: Eukaryota; Metazoa; Echinodermata; Asteroidea; Valvatida; Asterinidae
Description: tRNA-Val
Rfam family: tRNA
About the family: Transfer RNA (tRNA) molecules are approximately 80 nucleotides in length.
Source: Rfam by way of RNAcentral